UGAUAUUCUGGAUAACCCUUGGUUAAUUUUAGAGUUGUUUUGUGAAGAAUGAAGCUACAAGUCAAGAUGCAAGUUUAGAAGAUGCACACGACCAUUAUUAUUUUUCUAGGAAAGUUGUGCAAAACAAGAAAUCAUAGUCUAGCUCGGGAUAUUGUUAAUUUGCUAAAAAAAAAUUGUUAAUUAAAUGUUGAAACAAACACCAUGCGAUGUUUACCUAUUUUUAUAUUUAUAUCAGCC
RNAcentral lists this long non-coding RNA (237 nucleotides) under Solanum tuberosum (potato). RNAcentral describes it as "long non-coding RNA (STUB_LNC000058)". The record is from RNAcentral. Lineage: Eukaryota; Viridiplantae; Streptophyta; Magnoliopsida; Solanales; Solanaceae.